GAUGAACGCUGGCGGCGUGCCUAAUACAUGCAAGUCGAGCGAACAGAUGAGGAGCUUGCUCCUCUGACGUUAGCGGCGGACGGGUGAGUAACACGUGGAUAACCUACCUAUAAGACUGGGAUAACUUCGGGAAACCGGAGCUAAUACCGGAUAAUAUAUUGAACCGCAUGGUUCAAUAGUGAAAGACGGUUUUGCUGUCACUUAUAGAUGGAUCCGCGCCGCAUUAGCUAGUUGGUAAGGUAACGGCUUACCAAGGCAACGAUGCGUAGCCGACCUGAGAGGGGGAUCGGCCACACUGGAACUGAGACACGGUCCAGACGCCUAAGGGAGGCAGCAGUAGGGAAUCUUACGCAAUGGGCGAAAGCCUGACGGAGCAACGCCGCGUGAGUGAUGAAGGUCUUCGGAUCGUAAAACUCUGUUAUUAGGGAAGAACAAAUGUGUAAGUAACUAUGCACGUCUUGACGGUACCUAAUCAGAAAGCCACGGCUAACUACGUG
RNAcentral lists this ribosomal RNA (497 nucleotides) under uncultured bacterium. RNAcentral's name for it is "partial 16S ribosomal RNA". It matches the Rfam family "Bacterial small subunit ribosomal RNA", at positions 28 to 507 of the family's 1533-position model. The record is from RNAcentral.